Molecule: ribosomal RNA, 497 nt
Filed under: uncultured bacterium
Lineage: Bacteria
Description: partial 16S ribosomal RNA
Rfam family: Bacterial small subunit ribosomal RNA
Source: RNAcentral
GAUGAACGCUGGCGGCGUGCCUAAUACAUGCAAGUCGAGCGAACGGACGAGAAGCUUGCUUCUCUGAUGUUAGCGGCGGACGGGUGAGUAACACGUGGAUAACCUACCUAUAAGACUGGGAUAACUUCGGGAAACCGGAGCUAAUACCGGAUAAUAUUUUGAACCGCAUGGUUCAAAAGUGAAAGACGGUCUUGCUGUCACUUAUAGAUGGAUCCGCGCUGCAUUAGCUAGUUGGUAAGGUAACGGCUUACCAAGGCAACGAUGCAUAGCCGACCUGAGAGGGUGAUCGGCCACACUGGAACUGAGACACGGUCCAGACUCCUACGGGAGGCAGCAGUAGGGAAUCUUCCGCAAUGGGCGAAAGCCUGACGGAGCAACGCCGCGUGAGUGAUGAAGGUCUUCGGAUCGUAAAACUCUGUUAUUGGGGAAGAACAUAUGUGUAAGUAACUGUGCACAUCGUGACGGUACCUAAUCAGAAAGCCACGGCUAACUACGUG